Molecule: long non-coding RNA, 4852 nt
Organism: Homo sapiens (human)
Lineage: Eukaryota; Metazoa; Chordata; Mammalia; Primates; Hominidae
Gene: C22orf46P
Product: chromosome 22 open reading frame 46, pseudogene
Source: Ensembl
GAGUGGGCCCCGCCCUCUACGGGGGCACUGGCGCGGAAACUGGCCCUGUGUCGAAGAAGGAACGUACUUUGGCGUUCUUAUGAGCUGCCUAGUACAAAUUAUUGGCAGAAACAAUGAAUUAAACAUUCAAAAAGUAACCCACCGGCCGGCCGCAGCGGCUUAUGGCUGUAAUCCCGGCACUUUGGGAGGCCGAGGCGGGCGCAUCACCUGAGGACAGGAGUUCGAGACCAGCCUGGCCAACAUGGCGAAACCUCGUCCCUACUAAAAAAUACAAAAAUUAGCCAGGCGUGGUGGCGGGCGCCUGUAACCCCAGCUACUUAGGAGGCUGAAGCAGGAGAAUCGCUUGAACCCCGGAGGUGGAGGCUACAGUCCGGCACUGUUGGCACCAGGUCACCAGGACCCGCUUCAGCACAAGGAAUGUCAUCAAGGUGCCACUGCAGAAGCGGGCAGUGCCCUCCAUGAGGUGCGAAACUGUCUUCAAGCUGACUCCUGAAUUCUUCAGUCCUGGAAAGUCCAGGGGCCUAGAUUCUCAACAAUGCGCACAAAGGCAGAGAUGGGGAUACCGGAGGAGCCUCCAGGAAUCAUGGGCCCAGAACCUGCUCUCUCCACAGCACCCAUGUCCAGGCCCACCUUCGGGUGUCCACACCCACUCUGAGCCCAUCUUUUGUACCACCUCCAUUUCAAACACCUGUUUACUGCCUCAGAACAGUUCCUGGAAAGCAUGGCAGGUGCCUUGGUGUCUCCAUGAUGGUCAGACUCGCCCUGCCUUGGACAUGUGUCAAGAGAUGGAGCAGCUGCUGCUUCACUCACAGGAAAGGUUGGUGUCACUGGAGCCUGUCAUCAGUGUGAGGUCUCGCCCCACCUCCAUGACCUUAACCACCUCUCUUCCAAACUUACUUUCAGCUGAGAGGCUGCAGUUCUGCCCCCAGAGAGCUCCUGCCUGAUCCUUCCCACCAAACACUGAGAAUGUGCACUUGGAAGUCUUGGCACUGUCGACCAGAGGCCUGGGAACCAGGGGGUAAAAACCAGAAAGCAGGCAGAGAGGAUAGUAGAGAGACCCAGGCUCCAAGGUGGGUGAACCAGACAGGGAGCAGACGGGAGGAUGCUUCAGAAAUCCAGGCAUCUGGGGAGUAGUUCCCAGUAGACUUUGGAAUGGAGGGUGAUGCAGAGACUAACGUGUUGGAGUGUGCAAACCAGAGACUAGUAAUAAGUGAAACUGAUGGCGAGAUCUUGACACCAGGGUGGGACACCCAGGACCGGAUGGGAGUUGAGAGUAGAACCAACAUUCAGGAACUAGGGAAUAGAAACCAGAGGGAGGCUGGAGGUGAGAAUCUCCCUGAAACCCAGGCACAUAUGGGAGAGAACCAAGAACAGUUAAGAUGUAAAAUUGAUGCAGAGACCCAAACACCUGAGUGGGAGAACCAGGAUAAGAAUGGAAGUGAGGAUGCUGUGGAGACCCAGACAUUUGAGAAGAAGGACAAGAAAGAGGCUGGAGAGGAGGAUGGGGAAGAGAUCCAGGCUCAAGGAUUGGGGAAGCAAGGCCAGACUGGAGAUGAGAAUGGUGAGGAGACCCAGACACCACAGUGGGAGAAACAAGAUCAGAUGAAAGGUGAUGCGGAUGUGGAAAUUCAGAUGGAAGAGGGGAGAAACAAGGAUCAGGUUGGAGGUCAGGAUGCUGCACAAACCCAAUCAUGUGGGAGGGAGAACGUGGGAGAAGUAAAAAAAGAGAAUAGUGUAGAGACCCAGGCCUUGGAUUGGGGAAAACAGGAAUGUGUUGGAAAUGGGAAUGUUACAGAGAUCCAGACACCAAGGUGGGAGAAGCAUGAUCAAGGUGGAAGUAAGAAAGCUAAGAAGACCCAAGCAUCUGGGGGAGAGAACCAGAAACAAUUAAGUCAUGAAAUUCAAGUGGGGUGGGGAAAUAAGGGCCUGAGAAGAGAUGAAGAUGCUAAGGAAACCCAGAUAGCUACCAAGAAGAAGCUCAGGGAGAUAAGAGAAGGAUUGGGUGGUGAUCCAGGCACUAUGGUGGGGAAACCGGAGACAAGUAGCAAGUGAAAUUUAUAGAGAAUUUGAGAUACUAUGUUGGGAGAAUCAGAACUGGAUUGGAGGUGAACAUAGAGCAGAAAUUCAGGCAUCAGAGAAGAGAGACCAAAGAAAGGAUGGAUGUGAGGAUGGCACAAAUAUCCUGGCACCCGAGGCUGAGAUCCAGGAACAAUUAAAAGGUGAAACUGAUGUGGAGACUCAGAGCAAUGAGCCACUUAGAGAAGAGGAUGGUACAGACAUUCAGUCACUAGGGAGGAGAGAGGUUAAAGGUGAGGAUGAUAAAGACACCCAGGAACUUGGGAGGAAAAAUCAGGGUCAGUUAGGAAAUGAAUUUAGUGGAAAGAUUCACAUACCAAAGGGGAAGAAUCAGGAACAUAUUAGAGGCGAAGAUGGUGCACAUACCCAGAUAUCUGAGUCAGGGAACUGGGGCAAAUUAACAAGUCAAAUUGAUGGAGAAAUGCAUUCAGCAGAAUGGAAGAAAGAUCAGCAGAUUGGAGGUGAGAAUGGGGCAGAAAUUCAGAUACAAGGGAAGAGAAACCUGAGAGAAGUUGGAGGUGAGGACGGUGUAAAGACCUGGGCACCUGGGAAAGAAACCCAGAGUCAGUUUAGAAGUGAUCUUGGUAGAAAGAUCCUUUUAUCAGAGUGGAAGAGCCAGAAGCAGAUGGGAAGUGAGAAUGGAACAGAAAUUCAGGCUCCAGUGGAGAGAAACCAGAGAGAACCUGGAGGUGAGGACGGUGUAAAGACUCAGAGACCUAAGAGAGAGAACGAGGACCAGUUAGAUAGUGAAAUUGGAGGGAGCCAUUCACCAGGGAGGAGGAACUGGGAGCUGAUUGGAAAGGAUGUUGCAGAAAAUCAGGCAUCAGAGAAGAGAAACCAGAGAGAGGUUGGAAACGAGGACGGUAGAAUGAUCUGGAGGCUUAGGGGAAAAAACUGGAGGCUUAGAGCGAAGAAACAGACUGUUAAAAAGUAAAGAUAAUGGAAAGACCCGUUUAUCAGAGUGGAAGAACCAGGAACAGGGUGGAGGUGGGAAUGAUGAAGAAAUUCAAAUACAGGGGAAGAGAAACCUGAGAGGGACCACAGCUGAUGAUGGUACAGAGACCCAGGCUCCUGCAGGAGAUGACCAGGGACAGUUAAGAGUUGAAAUUGCUGAAGAGAUCCAGGUACAAGGGCAAGGAAAUAAGAAUGACGGUGGAGUUGAGGAUGUUGCAGAACUCCAGGAUAUAGGAAGCCAGAGAAAGUGCACAGAUGAGGAUGUUGGAGAGCCUCGAGCACCAAGGGGAGGAAACAAGGAUCUGGUCAGAGGAGAGGAUGCUGUGAGGGACAGUCUCCAAGUCGACUGUUCUGGGAGUGAGAGGCCCACAGGCAGGAAGCACAGCCUACCAUGGCCUCCAGCCUUCACUGGCUAUGGAUGUGGGACCCGGGAACAGGAACAGGCAGUGGCUGUGAAUGGUUUCAUCUCUGCCCCCUGUCCUGAGAUGAAUCCUGUCCCCCACUGGGGUGAAGUCUUCCUGCUGGUGGGUGGGGAGGGAGAGCAUCUGGCCAGCCAGGGCACAACCCCUGCCAGGGAUCAUAGAGUGGGGAUCAGUCCAGCCUCCCAGCAGGCCCAACCUGAAUCCUGGAGAAGACGACAAAGGGACAAAGGGGUGGAUCCAGAGAAGGCCCCCAGCCUGACUCGGCAGUCCCAAAACCCUCCGUCUCUGACAGCUCCCUUGGGCAUGCCCUCUGCCUGCUCCUGUCUCCCGUGUGGCCCAGCCCCGGAAGCUGCCAUCAUUCUAGCGGGUCCUCCCACCGCCCUCACUGUCCUGCCCAAGGGGACAGGCCUCAAGAAGAGCAAACGACUGCUCCUGGAGUCCCUCAUGCGGAGGAGGAUUGCACACCUGAAGUGGGGUCUUCCCCGGCGGAUCCUGGAGUCCUAUUUCCUGUUUAACUUCUUAGGAUCUUGCUCAUUGACCCUUGCUGGGGCGAGGCUCUCUGGACUGAACACAGGCCAGGAGCUCCAAGCCCAGCAGGAAAGGUAUUGUGAGGCCCAAGGCUCCCCACCAGGCCUUAAGUCCCCAGAGAGGUUCCAGAGGGUUCAGCGCCCAGACAGAAAAAGCUCGAAACUUCCUAUACAAGCCAGAGCUCUGGAGAGGAACAGACCGCACAUGUCAGAGCCCAUUAAGCAUUUCCAUCCAGCCUGAAAAGGCCAGGAGAGUCAGGCCACCAGGGGGCGCCAGAGAACCACAGGAGAUCCAGGAAGCGCUUGCUAGGACCAAGCUCCCAGCUCCCAGGACCCCCAGGCCGGCAGCGGAGUCCAGGAGCUGGUGUGGCCCACAAAGGGUCGGAGAGCCUCCCAGUGAGAACAGUAGGGGCAGGAAAAUGAUCAGGUCAAGGGUCUCCCAGCUGGCAGAGAGGGCUCCCAGCAGAGUGAGGACUUCAUUCUCUAGGGCAGACCACGCCCACUGGAGGAAGGAAUGUACAUCCUGGGAGGCCUCUAAGCUCCCCAGACUCAAAUGCCAGCAGCUCACAUACUGGAGAAGAGGAAGCCUGGAAUCUACAGGGUGCAGAGGGGCUGGGCAGCAGCCUUCCUGCCAUUCUGCAGAACCUGUCAGCUUCAAAGGGAGGCUCCACUCUGCGGUGGCAAAGCUGGGCCUGACCCUUCUGGCCAAGAUGUCCUGGUCCCCACAGCUCGCCAAGCGCAAGCACUUGGCCCCUAACCUGAGCCUGAGGGAACCUGAUUCUACUCUGCCUCCCAAAGUGGGUGAUCCUCGUGCAGGGGAGGACAGCAUCGGAGAUCACACUGCUUCACAGAGGGAUCUUCAGCUGCAAGGUC